CUGGCCCUGAGUCAAGGCCAGCAGCUUCCUGAUGCAGUUGGUUUCAAGCAGGAGCCUAAAGAGAUGUCUUUCUAUGGUCUGUUAGAACUUACGCGUGAAAUGGUCAGUUCAUUAGAAAGAAACAGCU
Small nucleolar RNA from Cavia porcellus (domestic guinea pig), 127 nucleotides. NCBI's taxonomy places the organism in Eukaryota, Metazoa, Chordata, Mammalia, Rodentia, Caviidae. The record is from Ensembl.